UGGUUUUGGAGCGGAAGUGUCCUUCCAUCUUUCUGUGGACGCUGGCUGAAGAUUGCCCCUUAUGGCCUGAGAAGGACUCACGUAGAGACAGGAUGAAGAUCAUGCAGGUUGAAGGGACACUGUGGGGAGGGGGCCGGUGCGGGGUCCUGGCGGGAGAACUGAGGAGGGUUCUGUCCUGGAUUUCUCCUCCUCUCACCUGUGCCCUGAGCGCCUGAACCAGGGCGCUGCUCAGGGCCUCCACCUCCGACACAGGUGCGCGUCUCACGGAUGGGCCACUGGUCGAGAGCCCACCGAGCCCAGCGCAGAGGUUUCCUCUGCCAGAAGGGGGCGCAGUGUCCCGGGCUCCACCUGGGGUGGGCGGGGUGGCUUCUCGGCAAGGAUGUUUCUUGGCUUUGGGGGGAAAACACUGGGAGCGAAAAUCCAGCUCUCUCCUGAUUCGAGAGCUUCGAAACGAAGUCCAAAAGAAUCAUUUCCUCCCACGGAAGAAAUCCUACCUUCCCGCAAGCCGGGGGCUGGGCGCCUUAGCCGCCUGGCUUCCUCAAAGGGUUAUCAGAGCCCGAGCCAUCUGCGGAUCAAGGACCCCGGCUCUCUAUGAUUUGUUGGUAAGUGGAACUGAGGAUAUUUGGAGACUAUUAAGAAGAUGGGAAAUCACCCACCACCCACCCCACUCCUGUGCCUGAUUUCAUGAUGCUUUCUUGGGCAUUAGCAGAUUUAAAUCUGCCUUACUUCGAAGGUCGCUAAGUCAGAGGUUGAGGGUGCGUUACCUGCCAUCUGCCACAUGUAAGAUUCAGCACCUCCCGGGCCUCCGGACCACUGGGCCACCGUCUGGACAGGGUGUCAACACUCCCACCUGGCAUGAACAUCGAAGACUGGAAACUGGCCUUUCUUGACAUGUCUGGAACCAUUUCCAACUGUACACGUAUUGAUAAGGAUCUAGUGAUCAUCUUGAAAGCUAAUAGGAUGGUGAUAGUGAAAACACAAAGCAUACUUUGAAUGAAUGUCGUCGUUAUAUAAAUUAAUGAUCAGGAAUGUGAAUUCUCAAAGCAUUUGGUUUUGGUCCUAGACCGGGGCAAGAUGCAAAAUCAUCUUCCAAAGCUGUCUUUUGGCAGAGUCUUGCUCCGGAACCCAGAAUGUGACCACUCUGGUGGCUGCACAUGGAUUAUGUCACUGUCACUUUCAGCAGUUACUAUUUUAACUGGAUAGGGCUUGAGGUCUGCUUGCUGGGGAAGCGCAGCAGUGAGACGUCCUUCCCUCACCCUACUAUGGGCAGGGAUAAAUGCAUUUUAUGCCCUUUCAGCAGGGGGCGUGAUCUGCCCCAAUAAGGCGUCCUCAGCCACUGUUCCUGAGCCAUUUCCAUGACUAAGCUACUUUUGUUUCCUCUGAUUUGCAAACUUUCCCCCAGAGGUCAAGCUGGUUUAGAUACCCUGAGCCUCCCCUCUUGAGAGAAGGAGGAAAAGGAGGAAGUGAGUUCCUACUGCAAACCACACUCCACCCCAGUUUCACUUCCCUCUGGGAAUGCAAAGCAACACAGCCCUGGUGCAACCACCAGAGGGUCAGCCAGCCGGAGGGGAGGCCAGAAAGAUAGCCAAGUGAAGAGGUCACCUCCCCAAGUGUGCAGUGUGAGGUGAAGCCUGCACUUCAGUUACCCUAAAGACACAAAUCCUGUCCAAGGGCUGCUUUAUUUUGUUAUUUUUUUGUUUGUUUGUUUUCUGGUACUGGGAAUCGAACUCACGACCUUGCACUUGCCAGGCAAGCACUGUGCUGCUGGGCUAAAUCCCCAGCCCCUAAAGGCUGCUUUAACUGAGAUUAGCACUACAACAGCGAUUUUUCUCAGGAUCAUUGUCAUUCUCGGCAUGUGGCUCAAAUAAGGCAUGUAGAUAAUUGGAUAAGGGCAAAUAAGGAGGGAUCUUUUGCUUUUCCUGAGGAGGGACAAGGGACCGUGAAUUAUUUUCCUGUGCUGCCUAGCAAUAAUGUGCCAUACAUGCUAACUGAAUCAAAGUCACCUGAAAUCAAAGGAACAUCAUAAUCAGUCUUUCUCUCUGUCCCCCCAUCUCUCUUGGCAAUUACACAAGGUGGAAGUAGGUCAAUGUGCCUUGCAUCAGCAGCUAGGAGAGAGCAUUAUUUUCCCUUUAAGUAAAUUGUUUUAUUAUAGUUAGUAAACAUCUUCAGUAAUUGUUUUAUUUGGAAAGGGAUUUUCAAACUGGGGCUUGUGAAGUAAAUUUCACCCUUAAGUUUAGCUGUGAAAGCUCUUUGAGCCUGUAUUAGUUUGCUAGGGCUGCUGUAGCAAAAUACUACAGGCUGAGUGGCUGAAGCAAUGGAAAUACAUUUUCUUACAGUGGUGGAGGCAGAAGUCCAAGAUCAAGUUGUGAACAGGUUUGGCUUCUCCUGAGAUUGGUCCUGUCUUGCAGAUGGCCACCUCCUUGCUGUAUGCUCAUGUGGUCUUUCCUCUGUAUUUGUGCCUGUGUCCUAAUCUCCCCCUUUUUUAAGGACUCUGGUCAGAUUGGAUUAGAGCUCACCCUAUGAUCCAUUUUAAUUUAAUUACUUCUUUUUUUUUUUUUUUUUUGCUUUUUGAGACAGGGUCUUCCUAUGCAGUUCAGGCUAGCAUUGAGCUCACUUUGUAGCCUAGGCUGGCCUCGAACUCACAACAAUCCUCCUGCCUCAGCCUCCCCAGUGCUGGGACUACAGGCGUGCUCCACCAUGCCAACCUAAUUACUUCUUUAAAGGCUCUGCCUCAAAUACCAUCAGUCCUAUUCACAGGUACAUAUGCUGGAGGUUGUGUCUUCAACAAUACUGUGAAUUUGGAGAGGACACCACCCAGUCCAUUCCAGAGCCUGAAUUUCCUUGUUGGUGAAGCUGGAAUAAAACUUGACUUCUUGAGCUGGGGAUAUAGCUCAGCGGCACAAGCACCUGCCUGGCAAUUGCAAGGUCCUGAGUUCAAUUCCUGGUAAAAUAA
Molecule: long non-coding RNA, 2953 nt
Filed under: Chinchilla lanigera (long-tailed chinchilla)
Lineage: Eukaryota; Metazoa; Chordata; Mammalia; Rodentia; Chinchillidae
Description: lncRNA (ENSCLAG00000024994.1)
Source: RNAcentral